Long non-coding RNA from Brassica oleracea var. oleracea, 1180 nucleotides. RefSeq lists it as uncharacterized. The record is from RefSeq and is a predicted model, not a curated record. The transcript has 5 exons. Lineage: Eukaryota; Viridiplantae; Streptophyta; Magnoliopsida; Brassicales; Brassicaceae.
UUAAUAAAGUCAGAUUGUCUUCAACCUAAUCAUUACUUUUUCUAAACUUCAUCUUCUCAUCUCAACGGCGCCGAUUCUCAAAGAAUGCCUACUCGAGAGGAAUUUCUGUGUUUUCUUCAACAAAAACCGAUUGGUGAUGGAACACCAAGUUAUGUUGAUUCCUUUCAAGUAUUUGAGACUUACUUCUCUUAACCAAAGCACUUCUCUCAACUAAACCCGGCCAAUAUCAACGUCACACAGAUACCAUCAAAUUCGACACACCACUAGACUUUUCCGUUUGCCAAUUUGCUAAUCCCGCUUUACAGAGACACUACGCGAUCUUGCAAGCCAUUGCAUUGGAUGAAGACGAGCUUCGUGAGACUAGAGAUGAGACUCUUCCUGACAAAGAAGGAAUGAACAGACCUGGAGUUGUGAAAGCAAUAGAAGAAUUUAAGAAGUCUAUCUACGGUGAUGACUCUGGAGAAGAAAGUGAUUCAGGGGAAAAAAAAGGAGAAAUCAAGAAAGCGUGAAAACGUGAAGUUAUAAUCAUCUACCUCCCUAUGUGAAAACGUGAUGGUUCAGAGCAAUUGCGCAACAAUUUAAUUGGAAAAGAAGCAUUACUGAGAUAGUAAAGGUUGCUUAUGAGAAAAAGGCCCAGAAAUCUUUCUCAAGCAACUUGUGUGCUUGGAAAGAUAAACGGAAGCCGAACAAAGAUCUUCCGGACUGGGUAUCAGAAAAAAACAUGAGCAGCUAACUCAAGGUGUAGCAACUCAGAAAAACCAUCUUACCCAAGCAGAGAUCAACAAUCUCGUUUUAAGGUAAACUCCUGUAACUAAGGGUCACCGUUUUGGGUUUGGAACACUACCACACCCAAGACAACAUCUUCUUCCUCUACUUUAGACCAAGAGGACCAGAAGAUUGCUAUGGCAAACGAAAAGAUUGUUAGGUUGGAGAAUGACAAGACUGACCAAGGUAAGGUUAUGAAGUAUUUGCAGAACUUGGCACAUAAGAUUGUAAGCAAAUUUCCAGAAUUUCUAGAUGAAGAUGAAGAUGAAGAUGCCACUCAAGAAUAGUUAUGUAUUAGUUAUUAUGCUUCCAUUUUGUGGUUAAAACUUUAGUAAUGACUAAUUGCAACUUUUUUUUUGUUAACGUUGUGUUAAAACUUUAUUUAUGUAUUAUGCUAAGACUAUUUUGUUGUUAA